UACGUAGGGUGCAAGCGUUGUCCGGAAUUAUUGGGCGUAAAGAGCUCGUAGGCGGUUUGUCGCGUCUGCUGUGAAAACUCGGGGCUUAACUCCGGGCCUGCAGUGGGUACGGGCAGACUAGAGUGUGGUAGGGGAGACUGGAAUUCCUGGUGUAGCGGUGAAAUGCGCAGAUAUCAGGAGGAACACCGAUGGCGAAGGCAGGUCUCUGGGCAGUAACUGACGCUGAGGAGCGAAAGCGUGGGGAGCGAACAGG
This 253-nucleotide ribosomal RNA is filed under the name uncultured bacterium. RNAcentral's name for it is "partial 16S ribosomal RNA". It matches the Rfam family "Bacterial small subunit ribosomal RNA", at positions 524 to 776 of the family's 1533-position model. The record is from RNAcentral.